CAAGUGACCCCGGUCUAACCACCGGGAUGUUCAUAACCCUUUGUUGUCCGACUCUGUUGCCUCCGGGGCGACCCUGCCUUCGGGCGGGGGCUCCGGGUGGACACUUCAAACUCUUGCGUAACUUUGCAGUCUGAGUAAACUUAAUUAAUAAAUUAAAACCUUUAACAACGGA
Molecule: unclassified non-coding RNA, 172 nt
Filed under: uncultured Cladosporium
Lineage: Eukaryota; Fungi; Ascomycota; Dothideomycetes; Cladosporiales; Cladosporiaceae
Source: RNAcentral